Long non-coding RNA from Erigeron canadensis, 655 nucleotides. RefSeq lists it as uncharacterized. NCBI's taxonomy places the organism in Eukaryota, Viridiplantae, Streptophyta, Magnoliopsida, Asterales, Asteraceae. The transcript has 2 exons. The record is from RefSeq and is a predicted model, not a curated record.
GAUGGAAAAAUCAUGAGCAAUGGCCCUUCAUGCCUUCAGUCCUCAUGUGGAUUCAACAACUUUAUUAAAUUGCCUUCCAAUUGAUUUUGUGCACAGGAGAUCACCAUUAUUUUAGAUGAUAUCUAUGUCUUCUUCAGGAUCCAAUUAUGUGUUGAGGCAUCCAAAAGGCAAUCCAUUGAAUUUUUGAGAACCGAAACUGAGGAUGCGGUAUCGGGGUUGCACGAUAUAAUGCAAAAGUAGUUGAUUGCUUUUAGGAAAGCAAAGCAUGAGAAGGAUCAAAGCCUUGACAAGGAUGAAUAUUGAGGUUCCCUUCUUUGUUCUUUAUUACUAUUGUUUCAUAAUAAGGCUAUUAUUUAUUACUUGGCUAAUUAUAUUUGUCUUAGAUGCUAGCAAAGAAAAUAGAUAUGCUGAAAGCUAUUGAGGUUGAAGCUGAAGAGAAGGGAGGUAGCUGGAUCGAGAAAGAGAUAGCUACUAGGGUGUUAACAGAGAACAAGAAAACAUGGCUAAGAUUCUGAAUUGAAAUUUCUUGAGUGUGAGGAGCGGGUUGUAUCUUUAUGAUCCAUAAUUUCCAAGUGAGUUAGUUUUGAAGUUUCAACAACAAAUUUUGGAACAGAGAAAUUGUCGGUUUAUGUGGUAUUCCUAUGUUUUGCAUAAA